AAUGAACGCUGGCGGCGUGCUUAACACAUGCAAGUCGGACGAGAAAGGCUGAUUUCGGUUGGCCGAGUAAAGUGGCGCACGGGUGAGUAACGCGUAGGCAACCUGCCCUUGUAUUGGGGAUAACCCUGCGAAAGUGGGGCUAAUACCGGAUGAGACCCUAUUCUGGAGGGGAUAGGGUGAAAGUCGGCCGCUCGGAGAAGCUGACGUACGAGGAUGGGCCUGCGUCCUAUCAGCUGGUUGGUGGGGUAGCGGCCUACCAAGGCGACGACGGGUAGCUGGUCUGAGAGGAUGAUCAGCCACACUGGCACUGGAACACGGGCCAGACUCCUACGGGAGGCAGCAGUGAGGAAUUUUGCGCAAUGGCCGCAAGGCUGACGCAGCAACGCCGCGUGGGUGAUGAAGGCCUUCGGGUCGUAAAGCCCUGUCAGGUGGGAAGAAAGGCCUGGAGAGGAAAGGUUUCAGGUUUGACGGUACCACCAGAGGAAGCACCGGCUAACGUCCGUGCC
This 506-nucleotide ribosomal RNA is filed under the name uncultured bacterium. Its description in RNAcentral is "bacterial SSU rRNA". It matches the Rfam family "Bacterial small subunit ribosomal RNA", at positions 29 to 509 of the family's 1533-position model. The record is from RNAcentral.